This is a long non-coding RNA of Piliocolobus tephrosceles (Ugandan red Colobus), 770 nucleotides long. RefSeq lists it as uncharacterized. The record is from RefSeq and is a predicted model, not a curated record. The transcript has 2 exons. NCBI's taxonomy places the organism in Eukaryota, Metazoa, Chordata, Mammalia, Primates, Cercopithecidae.
UUUGGAGGCCUAGGCGGGCAGAUCACCUGAGGCCAGGAGUUCGAGACCAGCCUGGCCAAAGUGGUGAAACCCUGUCUCUACUAAAAAUACAAAAAUUAGCCAGGCGUGGUGGCGUGCACCUGGAAUCUCCUGCCAGGAGACUGAGGCAGGAGAAUUGCUGGAACCCAGAAGGCAGAGGCUUUGAGCUGAGAUCAUGCCACUACUACACUCCAGCCUGGGUGACAGAGCAAGACUCCCUCUAAACAGAGAAACAAAGAAAAGAAAAGAAAAGGAUAUAUCUAUGAUGAAUUAAGAUGGAGUGGAACCCACUGAUGGUAUGCAGCAGAUAAGAUGCUAUAAAGAAAUGAUAUCCGGACACACGCCUGGGCAACAAGAGUGAAACGCCAUCUCAAAACAAAACAAUGACAACAACAGGACAGCAGAGAUGGACGACGGGUCAGGAAAGCUAACCAGGCAGCGGGAGGCCAGGACAGAAAGAGGCACAGGGAGCUCAGCUUAGUUUUGCUACAGGGGAUCUCUCAGGCUCACAACGGGUCAGUCCUCUAGGGAAGUUCUGGCCUCAUCAUGAUCCUUAUUUCAUCUCACUCCCCAAGUCUUUCCUCUGUCCCUCCUCCCACUGCCAUUUAUUUAUUUAACUGAAAAAGUACCAAUCACCCACAUAUGCAUAAAAUACUCAUCCAUGUACUUAUUUCUUAAAAUUGAUUAUUGUUAACAUUUGGUGUCAUUUGCUUUAUUUAUUUUUAAUGAAAGAAAUAAAACUUCACAGAAAA